This 468-nucleotide ribosomal RNA is filed under the name uncultured bacterium. Its description in RNAcentral is "partial 16S ribosomal RNA". It matches the Rfam family "Bacterial small subunit ribosomal RNA", at positions 28 to 507 of the family's 1533-position model. The record is from RNAcentral.
GACGAACGCUGGCGGCGUGCUUAACACAUGCAAGUCGAACGGAAAGGCCCUGCUUUUGUGGGGUGCUCGAGUGGCGAACGGGUGAGUAACACGUGAGUAACCUGCCCUUGACUUUGGGAUAACUUCAGGAAACUGGGGCUAAUACCGGAUAGGAGCUCCUGCUGCAUGGUGGGGGUUGGAAAGUUUCGGCGGUUGGGGAUGGACUCGCGGCUUAUCAGCUUGUUGGUGGGGUAGUGGCUUACCAAGGCUUUGACGGGUAGCCGGCCUGAGAGGGUGACCGGCCACAUUGGGACUGAGAUACGGCCCAGACUCCUACGGGAGGCAGCAGUGGGGAAUAUUGCACAUUGGGCGGAAGCCUGAUGCAGCAACGCCGCGUGCGGGAUGACGGCCUUCGGGUUGUAAACCGCUUUCGCCUGUGACGAAGCGUGAGUGACGGUAAUGGGUAAAGAAGCGCCGGCUAACUACGUG